GAUGAAGAACGCAGCGAAAUGCGAUAAGUAGUGUGAAUUGCAGAAUUCCGUGAAUCAUCGAAUCUUUGAACGCACAUUGCGCCUUCUGGUAUUCCGGAAGGCAUGCCUGUUCGAGAGUCAUUAACAACCGUUUCGAUCCCUUUCUUUCAGAAAUUACAAAGAGGAAAAGGGUUUGGUUAUGGUGGAGGAGGGAAAGGGAGCGUUUAGCCUGUAAAAAAAGAGGCUGUGUUCCGCCUCCCCCCCAAAAUUGUACAGGCGGUCGUGUGUGCCCACGCAUCGAGGUGUUGUAAAAGCUGCCACGGCACUUUUCACCUGUGCAGUGCGAGAUUGGCCAGCCGGUUUAAAAACCCCUCCAAACAAUCAAAGGUUGACCUCGGAUCAGGUAGGGAUACCCGCUGAACUUAAGCAUAUCAAUAAGCGGAGGA
This 425-nucleotide unclassified non-coding RNA is filed under the name soil metagenome. RNAcentral's name for it is "partial contains 5.8S ribosomal RNA, internal transcribed spacer 2, and large subunit ribosomal RNA". The stretch from base 1 to 120 matches the Rfam family "5.8S ribosomal RNA", at positions 35 to 154 of the family's 154-position model. The record is from RNAcentral.